This is a small nuclear RNA of Cricetulus griseus (Chinese hamster), 141 nucleotides long. Its record names the gene U2. It matches the Rfam family "U2 spliceosomal RNA". Rfam says of the family: U2 is a small nuclear RNA (snRNA) component of the spliceosome (involved in pre-mRNA splicing). Complementary binding between U2 snRNA (in an area lying towards the 5' end but 3' to hairpin I) and the branchpoint sequence (BPS) of the intron results the bulging out of an unpaired adenosine, on the BPS, which initiates a nucleophilic attack at the intronic 5' splice site, thus starting the first of two transesterification reactions that mediate splicing. NCBI's taxonomy places the organism in Eukaryota, Metazoa, Chordata, Mammalia, Rodentia, Cricetidae. The record is from Ensembl.
AUCACUUCUUUGCCUUUUGGCUAAGAUCAAAUGUAGUAUCUGUUCUUUAUCAGAUAGGUAUCUUAUUCCAUCAUUUUGUCUCUAUAACAAAUACCAGCUUGUGCUUCAAGUCUCAGUACUCCGUGGUAGGCGGGACUUUUC